Molecule: ribosomal RNA, 1144 nt
Filed under: Salmonella enterica subsp. enterica serovar Montevideo
Lineage: Bacteria; Pseudomonadati; Pseudomonadota; Gammaproteobacteria; Enterobacterales; Enterobacteriaceae
Description: partial 23S ribosomal RNA
Rfam family: Bacterial large subunit ribosomal RNA
Source: RNAcentral
UCGAUGAGUAGGGCGGGACACGUGGUAUCCUGUCUGAAUAUGGGGGGACCAUCCUCCAAGGCUAAAUACUCCUGACUGACCGAUAGUGAACCAGUACCGUGAGGGAAAGGCGAAAAGAACCCCGGCGAGGGGAGUGAAAAAGAACCUGAAACCGUGUACGUACAAGCAGUGGGAGCACCCUUUGGGGUGUGACUGCGUACCUUUUGUAUAAUGGGUCAGCGACUUAUAUUCUGUAGCAAGGUUAACCGUAUAGGGGAGCCGGAGGGAAACCGAGUCUUAACCGGGCGUUAAGUUGCAGGGUAUAGACCCGAAACCCGGUGAUCUAGCCAUGGGCAGGUUGAAGGUUGGGUAACACUAACUGGAGGACCGAACCGACUAAUGUUGAAAAAUUAGCGGAUGACCUGUGGCUGGGGGUGAAAGGCCAAUCAAACCGGGAGAUAGCUGGUUCUCCCCGAAAGCUAUUUAGGUAGCGCCUCGUGAAUUCAUCUCCGGGGGUAGAGCACUGUUUCGGCUAGGGGGCCAUCCCGGCUUACCAACCCGAUGCAAACUGCGAAUACCGGAGAAUGUUAUCACGGGAGACACACGGCGGGUGCUAACGUCCGUCGUGAAGAGGGAAACAACCCAGACCGCCAGCUAAGGUCCCAAAGUCAUGGUUAAGUGGGAAACGAUGUGGGAAGGCCCAGACAGCCAGGAUGUUGGCUUAGAAGCAGCCAUCAUUUAAAGAAAGCGUAAUAGCUCACUGGUCGAGUCGGCCUGCGCGGAAGAUGUAACGGGGCUAAACCAUGCACCGAAGCUGCGGCAGCGACGCUGAUGCGUUGUUGGGUAGGGGAGCGUUCUGUAAGCCUGCGAAGGUGGCCUGUGAGGGUUGCUGGAGGUAUCAGAAGUGCGAAUGCUGACAUAAGUAACGAUAAAGCGGGUGAAAAGCCCGCUCGCCGGAAGACCAAGGGUUCCUGUCCAACGUUAAUCGGGGCAGGGUGAGUCGACCCCUAAGGCGAGGCCGAAAGGCGUAGUCGAUGGGAAACGGGUUAAUAUUCCCGUACUUGGUGUUACUGCGAAGGGGGGACGGAGAAGGCUAUGUUGGCCGGGCGACGGUUGUCCCGGUUUAAGCGUGUAGGCUGGUUUUCCAGGCAAAUCCGGAAAAUCA